This 253-nucleotide ribosomal RNA is filed under the name uncultured bacterium. Its description in RNAcentral is "partial 16S ribosomal RNA". It matches the Rfam family "Bacterial small subunit ribosomal RNA", at positions 524 to 776 of the family's 1533-position model. The record is from RNAcentral.
UACGGAGGAUGCAAGCGUUAUCCGGAAUGAUUGGGCGUAAAGCGUCCGCAGGUGGCUGUGUAAGUCUGCUGUCAAAGAGCAAAGCUCAACUUUGUAAAGGCAGUGGAAACUACACGGCUAGAGUGCGUUCGGGGCAGAGGGAAUUCCUGGUGUAGCGGUGAAAUGCGUAGAGAUCAGGAAGAACACCGGUGGCGAAGGCGCUCUGCUGGACCGCAACUGACACUCAGGGACGAAAGCUAGGGGAGCGAAUGGG